This is a non-coding RNA of Gossypium raimondii (Peruvian cotton), 107 nucleotides long. Lineage: Eukaryota; Viridiplantae; Streptophyta; Magnoliopsida; Malvales; Malvaceae. The record is from Rfam.
AAUUUAUGCUGAGGACACCUUCUCAAAAUAUCCUUAAAUCCCUCUCAUGCAUCAUAUAACGUCUCCAAAUCAAUUUGAGCAAAAAAAGAGAUGUUGUUCCUUGUAAC